This 489-nucleotide long non-coding RNA is filed under the name Astyanax mexicanus (Mexican tetra). RNAcentral's name for it is "lncRNA (ENSAMXG00005004130.1)". Lineage: Eukaryota; Metazoa; Chordata; Actinopteri; Characiformes; Acestrorhamphidae. The record is from RNAcentral.
GGUGGGAUACCUGUUUAACAUAUGUGUUUAUUUGAUGUUCUAUAUUCUACAGACUCUGCACCUGCUUCUUCAACCAGAAGGAACUCUGUAAAUAGUGAAGAGGCUCAUCAAGGACCCUAUUACGAGGAGAUUCCAGACAAUCAGCCUUCCAGUUCUACAGUUUAUGCCACCGCCGAAAACCCGAGAGCUCCAUCCAACACUGAAAGGGCUGCUAACAGAUCUACUGAGCCACCCGCUGAAUUCUACUCCAUGGCACAACUUUCCAAUCCAGCGUCAGGUGUGUCGGCAGUGUAUGCCACUGUGGACGACUGUACAUAAGGAGGACAAUCUAUAUGAUGGAAUCCAACUCUCAGCUUGCUUUAAAGUAUCAGCAUUAACAUGUUUUUGCCUCUUUUCUUUUAACAUUAUGUGAUAUUGUUUAAUCUUUUUAUGCACAUGUCUGUUGACAAGUUUCUCCAGUUUCAAAAUAAAACAGUUUCAGACUGACCA